This is a long non-coding RNA of Neopelma chrysocephalum (saffron-crested tyrant-manakin), 1562 nucleotides long. RefSeq lists it as uncharacterized. The transcript has 3 exons. The record is from RefSeq and is a predicted model, not a curated record. NCBI's taxonomy places the organism in Eukaryota, Metazoa, Chordata, Aves, Passeriformes, Pipridae.
AGAAGCGCCAUCCAGUGGAGCAGAAAACUCCAUGUGGCUGCUGCUGUAUUUCAUUGAUAGAUGUGAGCAGGGCUGCUGCCUGGGUUUGUUAUUUCUAUUCGAAUAACGCUGUAACAGCAAGUUUAUUUUCAAAUAAAUGAAAAGCUACUCAGUUCCAGAAGGAAGACACUGUCAGGAUCCAUAGAAUAAACACCAGGCGUUUUACUGGUCCCCACGUUUCCUUAACUGUGUAAAGACCAUUAGUUCUUUUCUUCUUAUUAUUUUGGAAACCAGCUCACACUUACACAGGCCUUUAGUAAUUAUGGGAAGGUCAAUCUAACUAAAACCUUUGUAGGCUUCAACAGAUUUUGUUUGACUUUGGUGGUGGCUUUAAACUUUCUCAACUGAUAGGAAGUAUCAGGAAGGUGGUGCUACUCAUGUUUCAAAAUGUCAAGGAUUAUUUUUUCAUGUAAAGUAAUUAAGUUGCUAAGCUAAUGCUAGAGUUAAAACUCCUUUUCCACUCCUGAUACACUGUUAAUGCUACCAGCAACGUGCACCAACUCACUUCACUUGUAACUGCCAAGUUGAACUCACCACUUCCCUGUGAUCACACGAGGCGGAAUAAAACCUGCUGCUCCAUGACCUUCUGUAAUAUUGCACAAAGAAAAACGUUUAACCUCAUUGAACAGCUGGAUGCAAAAUAAUGUGAACUAAAGGAGCAUCGUUUUCACUCUGUGUAUGUGCUUAUAGAGUUCACUUAUUUUGCAGACUGGAGUCUCCCUGGAUUACUCAGACCCGUCUUCAUUGUUCUGGGAUUUGACCCCAGGCUGGUUUCCUCUGCCAAACUCAGCUGUGGAGAAGGAAGCAGCUAUGGCACAGUGUGGGACCUCACACUACACAUGCAAGAUACAGGCAACACUUUCACAGACAGUCCACCCAGGAGCUGAUCUGCUGAAACAGGGACUUGAGAGCUUGGUCAGAUGGUGCUCAAAGUGCAAAGAUUUCAAAGCAACAAUCAGAGUGGCUCGGCAGAGGAAGGGCUGGUGGUGCUUGGAACAGCCUUCACAGGGACAUGGCUGGGAGAGUUACCAUGGGAACGGGAGGAAAGGAGUUCCAUUGCCUUUGUGAUGUGCAAACCCUACUUUCUACAGAGUGACUUGUGCUGCAGAACUGGAAAAACGUUGAUUUUUUUUCCUUAGAAAACGAAAAGUGCAAAAAUAGUAGAACAUUUUCAGAUGAAAACACACAGAGCCUUUUAAGGAGUCAGUCAAAUGUCUCUUUCCAUGCUACUAAUUUUACAGUUUUCAGGAGGCAAUUACUGCCUCGCAAACUCACCUUGCAGACCUUCAUAUCUACAUAGAAAUGAAAGUAUAAAUAGAAUUUCAUAGUUUGCACAUCCCCUCAGCCUCCUAAUUUGACACCCUUCGUCUAGCACUGUUUGCACAGAAAACAGCUGCAUGGGUGGUGUGGGGAGGAGAGGAGAUCAGAGGUAUCCUGACAGGAUUACCUUCACUGUUACAUCACUCUGUAACCACCACAGCACCCUCACAGCUGGGAUCUGCUUUGUAGGGAACCCCCUUCAC